UACGUAGGGACCAAGCGUUGUUCGGAUUUACUGGGCGUAAAGGGCGCGUAGGCGGCGCGGUAAGUCACUUGUGAAAUCUCUGAGCUUAACUCAGAACGGCCGAGUGAUACUGCAGUGCUAGAGUGUGGAAGGGGCAAUCGGAAUUCUUGGUGUAGCGGUGAAAUGCGUAGAUAUCAAGAGGAACACCUGAGGUGAAGACGGGUUGCUGGGCCAACACUGACGCUGAUGCGCGAAAGCCAGGGGAGCAAACGGG
RNAcentral lists this ribosomal RNA (253 nucleotides) under uncultured bacterium. RNAcentral describes it as "partial 16S ribosomal RNA". It matches the Rfam family "Bacterial small subunit ribosomal RNA", at positions 524 to 776 of the family's 1533-position model. The record is from RNAcentral.